GAUGAACGCUGGCGGCGUGCUUAACACAUGCAAGUCGAACGGAUUUAACAGAAAGCUUGCUUUCGGUUAAAUUAGUGGCGGACGGGUGAGUAACGCGUGGGUAACCUGCCUCAUACAGGGGGAUAACAGUUAGAAAUGACUGCUAAUACCGCAUAAGCGCACGGUAUCGCAUGAUACAGUGUGAAAAACUCCGGUGGUAUAGGAUGGACCCGCGUCUGAUUAGCUAGUUGGUGAGGUAACGGCCCACCAAGGCGACGAUCAGUAGCCGGCCUGAGAGGGUGAACGGCCACAUUGGGACUGAGACACGGCCCAAACUCCUACGGGAGGCAGCAGUGGGGAAUAUUGCACAAUGGGGGAAACCCUGAUGCAGCGACGCCGCGUGAGUGAAGAAGUAUUUCGGUAUGUAAAGCUCUAUCAGCAGGGAAGAAAAUGACGGUACCUGACUAAGAAGCCCCGGCUAACUACGUG
RNAcentral lists this ribosomal RNA (468 nucleotides) under uncultured bacterium. Its description in RNAcentral is "bacterial SSU rRNA". It matches the Rfam family "Bacterial small subunit ribosomal RNA", at positions 28 to 507 of the family's 1533-position model. The record is from RNAcentral.